UACGUAGGGUGCGAGCGUUAAUCGGAAUUACUGGGCGUAAAGCGUGCGCAGGCGGAUUGUUAAGCAAGACGUGAAAUCCCCGGGCUUAACCUGGGAAUGGCGUUUUGAACUGGCAGUCUAGAGUGUGUCAGAGGGGGGUAGAAUUCCACGUGUAGCAGUGAAAUGCGUAGAGAUGUGGAGGAAUACCGAUGGCGAAGGCAGCCCCCUGGGAUAACACUGACGUUCAUGCUCGAAAGCGUGGGUAGCAAACAGG
Molecule: ribosomal RNA, 253 nt
Filed under: uncultured bacterium
Lineage: Bacteria
Description: partial 16S ribosomal RNA
Rfam family: Bacterial small subunit ribosomal RNA
Source: RNAcentral